This 420-nucleotide ribosomal RNA is filed under the name bacterium. RNAcentral describes it as "partial 16S ribosomal RNA". It matches the Rfam family "Bacterial small subunit ribosomal RNA", at positions 355 to 776 of the family's 1533-position model. The record is from RNAcentral.
UGGGGGAUAUUGCACAAUGGGCGAAAGCCUGAUGCAGCGACGCCGCGUGGGGGAUGAAGGCUUUCGGGUUGUAAACCUCUUUCGCUAUCGAACAAGGCCCGCUUAGGGUGGGUUGAGGGUAGGUGGAGAAGAAGCGCCGGCUAACUACGUGCCAGCAGCCGCGGUAAUACGUAGGGCGCGAGCGUUGUCCGGAAUUAUUGGGCGUAAAGGGCUUGUAGGCGGCUUGUUGCGCCUGCUGUGAAAACGCGGGGCUUAACUUCGCGCGUGCAGUGGGUACGGGCAGGCUUGAGUGUGGUAGAGGUGACUGGAAUUCCAGGUGUAGAGGUGGAAUGCGCAGAUAUCUGGAGGAACACCGAUGGCGAAGGCAGGGCACUGGGCCAUUACUGACGCUGAGGAGCGAAAGCAUGGGUAGCGAACAGG